This 253-nucleotide ribosomal RNA is filed under the name uncultured bacterium. RNAcentral's name for it is "partial 16S ribosomal RNA". It matches the Rfam family "Bacterial small subunit ribosomal RNA", at positions 524 to 776 of the family's 1533-position model. The record is from RNAcentral.
UACGAAGGGGGCUAGCGUUGCUCGGAAUCACUGGGCGUAAAGCGCACGUAGGCGGAUUGUUAAGUCAGGGGUGAAAUCCUGGAGCUCAACUCCAGAACUGCCUUUGAUACUGGCGAUCUCGAGUCCGGGAGAGGUGAGUGGAACUGCGAGUGUAGAGGUGAAAUUCGUAGAUAUUCGCAAGAACACCAGUGGCGAAGGCGGCUCACUGGCCCGGUACUGACGCUUAGGUGCGAAAGCGUGGGGAGCGAACGGG